RNAcentral lists this ribosomal RNA (1254 nucleotides) under uncultured marine eukaryote. Its description in RNAcentral is "SSU rRNA". It matches the Rfam family "Eukaryotic small subunit ribosomal RNA", at positions 383 to 1806 of the family's 1831-position model. The record is from RNAcentral.
UCGGAGAGGGCGCCUGAGAAACGGCUACCACAUCUACGGAUGGCAGCAGGCGCGCAAAUUACCCAAUGCAGACACUGUGAGGUAGUGACGAGAAAUAAUAAAGCGGGACUUCUGUUUCGCUAUUAUAAUGAGGAAUAACCAAAGGUCAUUCCGAUUAGCAACUGAUGGGAAAGUCUGGUGCCAGCAGCCGCGGUAAUACCAGCGUCAGUAGCAUAUAUUAAAAUUGUUGCAGUUAAAACGUCCGUAGUCUGUACGUCGUCCCAAACUCACUGCAGUCUUCCGUUUUCUUAAUUGAAUGCGGUAGUUUCUGCAGUCACUCCCUUGAUCAAAUUAGGUUGUUCAAGGUAGACCAAGUCUUCAUAUUUUCACAUGGAAUUGGGCGAGGGAACUUAAGAGUUUAAGUUUCUCGUCUUAGGAUCAUCCGGGGUCAUUCGUACUCGUCCGCGAGAGGUGAAAUUCUUGGACCGGACGAAGACGACCAGCAGCGAAAGCAUCUGUCAGGGAUGUUUUCUGCGACAAAGGACGAAGGUCAGGGUAUCGAAGACGAUUAGAUACCGUCGUAGUCCUGACUGUAAACUAUGCCAACUUGGGUCUUGCUGGGCGAUGCUUUGUGAGACCCACACAGAAAUGAAAGUGUAUGGGUUCUGGGGGGUAGUAUGGACACAAGUCUGAAACUUGAAGGAAUUGACGGAAGAGCACCAUAAGACGUGGAGCUUGCGGCUUAAUUUGACUCAACGCGGGAAAACUUACCAGGUCAAGACAUGGGCGUGAUUGACAGGCUAAUGACUUUUCUCGAUUCCAUGGAUGGUGGUGCAUGGUCGCACUUAGUUGGUGCAGUGAUUUGUCAGGUUUAUUCCGGUAACGAACGAGACCUCGGCCUUGUAAAUAGCUAUGCUGCUUACAGGGACAUUGGCGGCUACGCCAAGGAAGCUCGAGGCAAUUGCAGAUCUGGAAUGCCCUUAGAUGUCCUGGGUCGCACGCGUGCUACAAUGACGCCACGAACGAGCUUGCAUGAUGAAAGUUAUGCAUAAUCAGCAGUCGGCGUCUUAAGGGAUAGUCUCUUGUAACUGUGGGACUCCAACUAGGAAUGUCUCGUAAGCACAAGUCAACAUCUUGUGUUGAUUACGUCCCUGCUCUUUGUACACACCGCCCGUCGCUCCUACCGAUCGAGUGUUUAGGUGAAUUUGAUGGACGUAAGGAAGUCAAAUAAACCUGAGCACUUAGAGGAAGGAGAAGUCGUAACAAGGUAGCCGU